ACAUUUCUGUAAGUGUGUAGGUAGGUGGCCGGUACGUUCACUGUGAAAAAAUUAGAGUGCUCAGAGCGAGCCCCGCUGGCUUGCAUACGAAAAGCA
This is a long non-coding RNA of Octopus sinensis (East Asian common octopus), 96 nucleotides long. RefSeq lists it as uncharacterized. The record is from RefSeq and is a predicted model, not a curated record. NCBI's taxonomy places the organism in Eukaryota, Metazoa, Mollusca, Cephalopoda, Octopoda, Octopodidae. The transcript has 3 exons.